RNAcentral lists this ribosomal RNA (115 nucleotides) under Sinocyclocheilus anshuiensis. The record is from RNAcentral. Lineage: Eukaryota; Metazoa; Chordata; Actinopteri; Cypriniformes; Cyprinidae.
AGCCACAGCCAUAUCACCCUGCAGCCCAAGACUGGUUGCCCGCUGAAGCUAAGCAGGGUUGAGCCUGGUCAGACCUGAUGGGAGACCUCCUGGGAAAACUAGGUUGCUGUUGGAA